GAAUAAGCUUGGUUAGGUUGUUGCUGGCUCUUCGGGGCAUGUGCACACCUGACACCAACUUUUCUUACCACCUGUGCACUUUUUGUAGACUUUGGAAUACCUCUCGAGGAAACUCGGUUUUGAGGACUGCUGUGCGCAAGCCGGCUUUCCUUACAUUUUCCGGUCUAUGUUUUUCUAUAUACCCUAUAGUAUGUCACAGAAUGUCAUUUUAAUGGGCUUAAUUGCCUUUAAACCUAUACAACUUUCAACAACGGAUCUCUUGGCUCU
RNAcentral lists this unclassified non-coding RNA (267 nucleotides) under rhizosphere metagenome. RNAcentral describes it as "partial ribosomal RNA internal transcribed spacer region". The record is from RNAcentral.